GAAGAGAGCUUGCUCUCUGAUUCAGCGGCGGACGGGUGAGUAAUGCCUAGGAAUCUGCCUGGUAGUGGGGGACAACGUCUCGAAAGGGACGCUAAUACCGCAUACGUCCUACGGGAGAAAGCAGGGGACCUUCGGGCCUUGCGCUAUCAGAUGAGCCUAGGUCGGAUUAGCUAGUUGGUGAGGUAAUGGCUCACCAAGGCGACGAUCCGUAACUGGUCUGAGAGGAUGAUCAGUCACACUGGAACUGAGACACGGUCCAGACUCCUACGGGAGGCAGCAGUGGGGAAUAUUGGACAAUGGGCGAAAGCCUGAUCCAGCCAUGCCGCGUGUGUGAAGAAGGUCUUCGGAUUGUAAAGCACUUUAAGUUGGGAGGAAGGGUUGUAGAUUAAUACUCUGCUGUUUUGACGUUACCGACAGAAUAAGCACCGGCUAACUCUGUGCCAGCAGCCGCGGUAAUACAGAGGGUGCAAGCGUUAAUCGGAAUUACUGGGCGUAAAGCGCGCGUAGGUGGUUUGUUAAGUUGGAUGUGAAAG
RNAcentral lists this ribosomal RNA (533 nucleotides) under Pseudomonas sp. S24(2015). RNAcentral describes it as "bacterial SSU rRNA". It matches the Rfam family "Bacterial small subunit ribosomal RNA", at positions 71 to 600 of the family's 1533-position model. The record is from RNAcentral. Lineage: Bacteria; Pseudomonadati; Pseudomonadota; Gammaproteobacteria; Pseudomonadales; Pseudomonadaceae.